AUGGUCUUGUGGCUAAACUUGGUGUCCUUUUUGGCAGUCCUCAGAGGAGCUCAGUCUGAGGUCCAGUUGGUGGAGUCUGGAGGGGAUGUGAGAAGGCCUGGAGAGUCCCUCCGCCUCUCCUGCCAAGCCUCCGGAUUCACUUUCAGCAGUUACGGCAUGAACUGGUUCAGACAGGCUCCAGGGAAAGGCCUGGAGUGGGUAGCCCACAUAAAUCCAAGUUCCAGUACUUACCACUCGGACAAAGUGAAGGGAUACUUCACCAUCUCCAGGGACAACUCCAAAAGCCAAGUAUACCUGCAAAUGAACAGCCUGAAGCCGGAGGACUCGGCAGUCUAUUAUUGUGUGGGAGACACAGUGAGAGGAAGUGAAUCUGAAGCCCAGCAAAAACUUUCCCUUCCUCAGAAGUACUAUCCAAGUUGA
Candoia aspera is the source of this 420-nucleotide non-coding RNA. Lineage: Eukaryota; Metazoa; Chordata; Lepidosauria; Squamata; Candoiidae. The record is from the annotation of a RefSeq genome assembly.